UUUUUUUUUGCAGAAUCCUUCUAUAAAAUCUAGUCCCGAGUCUAUAGCCGACAAAUCAGUUUACCAUCAUGAUGUGAAAAUCCAAAAAACAAGGGUAGAAAUCAAAUCUUUUACCUUUUAGAAACUUGUCUUUUUCUUGAAAAUGUUCAUUAUGGUUAUUGUCUUCUCUUUGAGUGCAGGAAGAAUUCUCCAAACCUUGUGCUUAUGGUUACCUAAACCCUAAUUACAUUCUAGUAGAAAGUGAAAUUGAUCAAUGGAGAGAGAGAAAAGAGAUAAGGGUGGAAAAAGGUGUCCUUUCAUCUUAUUCCUGAGUAGAAAUGUUUUUAGCUGUUAAGGGCUCAAGGCAAUGGCACUAUGGAACUUCGCCGUUACACUUAGGUCGGAGUACUCUCAAAUUUUGGUAUAUCUGCUAUAUGAUCCGACUCUAAUCCUUAAGAGUAUU
RNAcentral lists this small RNA (442 nucleotides) under Arabidopsis thaliana (thale cress). Its description in RNAcentral is "ATSL224660". The record is from RNAcentral. Lineage: Eukaryota; Viridiplantae; Streptophyta; Magnoliopsida; Brassicales; Brassicaceae.